UUCGUAGGCGGUGCGGCAAGUCGGGAGUGAAAUCUCUGGGCUUAACUCAGAGGCUGCUUCCGAAACUUCCGUGCUCGAGUGUGGGAGAGGCGCGUGGAAUUGCAGGUGUAGCGGUGAAUGCGUAGAUAUCUGCAGGAACACCCGUGGCGAAAGCGGCGCGCUGGACCACAACUGACGCUGAGGAACGAAAGCUAGGGGAGCAAACAGGAUUAGAUACCCUGGUAGUCCUAGCCCUAAACGAUCAGGACUUGGGGUGGCGCCCGUUCGGGCGUCGUCCCGGAGCUAACGCGUUAAGUCCUGCACCUGGGGAGUACGGUCGCAAGACUGAA
This 329-nucleotide ribosomal RNA is filed under the name uncultured bacterium. RNAcentral's name for it is "bacterial SSU rRNA". It matches the Rfam family "Bacterial small subunit ribosomal RNA", at positions 568 to 898 of the family's 1533-position model. The record is from RNAcentral.